Molecule: ribosomal RNA, 468 nt
Filed under: uncultured bacterium
Lineage: Bacteria
Description: partial 16S ribosomal RNA
Rfam family: Bacterial small subunit ribosomal RNA
Source: RNAcentral
GACGAACGCUGGCGGCGUGCUUAACACAUGCAAGUCGAACGGAAAGGCCCUGCUUUUGUGGGGUGCUCGAGUGGCGAACGGGUGAGUAACACGUGAGUAACCUGCCCUUGACCUUGGGAUAACUUCAGGAAACUGGGGCUAAUACCGGAUAGGAGCUCCUGCUGCAUGGUGGGGGUUGGAAAGUUUCGGCGGUUGGGGAUGGAUUCGCGGCUUAUCAGCUUGUUGGUGGGGUAGUGGAUUACCAAGGCUUUGACGGGUAGGCGGCCUUAGAGGUUGACCGGCCACAUUGGUACUGAGAGACGGCCCAGAAGCCUACGGGAGGCAGUAGUGGAGAAUAUUGCAGAAUGGCCGGAAGCGUGUUGCAGCAACGCUGCGUGCGGGAUGACGGGCUUCGGGUUGUAAACCGCUUUCGCCGGUGACGAAGCGUGAGUGACGGUAAUGGGUCAAGAAGCACCGGCUAACUACGUG